UGCGGGGGUGCAAGCGUUGUUCGGAGUUACUGGGCGUAAAGCGCGCGUAGGCGGUUUGCUAAGUCAGAUGUGAAAGCCCAUGGCUCAACCAUGGACGUGCAUUUGAAACUGGCAGACUUGAGUAUUGGAGGGGGUGGUGGAAUUCCCCGGUGUAGAGGUGAAAUUCGUAGAUAUCGGGAGGAAUACCGGUGGCGAAGGCGACUUUCUGGACGAAUACUGACGCUGAGGCGCG
Molecule: ribosomal RNA, 232 nt
Filed under: uncultured bacterium
Lineage: Bacteria
Description: partial 16S ribosomal RNA
Rfam family: Bacterial small subunit ribosomal RNA
Source: RNAcentral